UUGCUUGGCUUGUGCCCAGGUUGCUACUCUGUCAGAACAUUCCAUCAGUACAUUUCCUUUCUUCAUUACUAUGAAACCAUGUGGAAGCAUGGA
Gavialis gangeticus (Gharial) is the source of this 93-nucleotide long non-coding RNA. RefSeq lists it as uncharacterized. The transcript has 3 exons. NCBI's taxonomy places the organism in Eukaryota, Metazoa, Chordata, Crocodylia, Gavialidae. The record is from RefSeq and is a predicted model, not a curated record.